GGAAAAACGAUGAAGGAUCGAGUAUGCCGUUCGUAAUCCAACCGCUGAAGGCGGACAGAGAGGGCUUCCAUGGCUGGAAGAAGCCCGGGGUGAAAAAUAGCAGAACGCUAAUCCGGAGUGCAGCCAAUACCUGCCGUUAUGCCGCGUUAAGGCAAUAUUGAGAGAUGGGCGCCGGCUUUACGCCCAUAAUCAGGGUGGUACCGCGAGAAUAAGCUCUCGUCCCUGUC
RNAcentral lists this non-coding RNA (227 nucleotides) under Bacillus sp. (in: firmicutes). Its description in RNAcentral is "Bacillus sp. T-box sequence". It matches the Rfam family "T-box leader". Rfam says of the family: Uncharged tRNA acts as the effector for transcription antitermination of genes in the T-box leader family. The record is from RNAcentral. RNAcentral also lists the same sequence under 1 other name. Lineage: Bacteria; Bacillati; Bacillota; Bacilli; Caryophanales; Bacillaceae.